This 425-nucleotide ribosomal RNA is filed under the name uncultured bacterium. Its description in RNAcentral is "bacterial SSU rRNA". It matches the Rfam family "Bacterial small subunit ribosomal RNA", at positions 354 to 796 of the family's 1533-position model. The record is from RNAcentral.
GUGGGGAAUAUUGGACAAUGGGCGCAAGCCUGAUCCAGCCAUGCCGCGUGAGUGAUGAAGGCCCUAGGGUUGUAAAGCUCUUUCGCCAGGGACGAUAAUGACGGUACCUGGAUAAGAAGCCCCGGCUAACUUCGUGCCAGCAGCCGCGGUAAUACGAAGGGGGCUAGCGUUGUUCGGAAUCACUGGGCGUAAAGCGCACGUAGGCGGAUCUUUAAGUCAGGGGUGAAAUCCCGAGGCUCAACCUCGGAACUGCCUUUGAUACUGGGGAUCUCGAGUCCGGGAGAGGUGAGUGGAACUGCGAGUGUAGAGGUGAAAUUCGUAGAUAUUCGCAAGAACACCAGUGGCGAAGGCGGCUCACUGGCUCGAUACUGACGCUGAGGUGCGAAAGCGUGGGGAGCAAACAGGAUUAGAAACCCCAGUAGUCC